Molecule: ribosomal RNA, 507 nt
Filed under: uncultured Glomus
Lineage: Eukaryota; Fungi; Glomeromycota; Glomeromycetes; Glomerales; Glomeraceae
Description: SSU rRNA
Rfam family: Eukaryotic small subunit ribosomal RNA
Source: RNAcentral
AGCAGCCGCGGUAAUUCCAGCUCCAAUAGCGUAUAUUAAAGUUGUUGCAGUUAAAAAGCUCGUAGUUGAAUUUCGGGGUUAGCAGGUCGGUCGUGCCAUUGGUAUGAACUGGUCUCGCUGAUCCCUCCCUCUUGACGAACUGUGAUGCCAUUAAUUUGGUGUCGCAGGGAAUCAGGACUGUUACUUUGAAAAAAUUAGAGUGUUUAAAGCAGGCUCACGCUUGAAUACAUUAGCAUGGAAUAAUGAAAUAGGACGUUUGAUCCUAUUUUGUUGGCUUCUAGGAUUGACGUAAUGAUUAAUAGGGAUAGUUGGGGGCAUUAGUAUUCAAUUGUCAGAGGUGAAAUUCUUGGAUUUAUUGAAGACUAACUACUGCGAAAGCAUUUGCCAAGGAUGUUUUCAUUAAUCAAGAACGAAAGUUAGGGGAUCGAAGACGAUCAGAUACCGUCGUAGUCUUAACCAUAAACUAUGCCGACUAGGGAUCGGAUGAUGUUAAUUUUUAAUGACUCU